GACAUUUUAAUUUUUAAAUUUUAAUUUUUUGUAAUUUCUGACUCGAAUUAUAAGGCGUAUGAUAGUUUGGUUUGAAUUGUCGCAAUCAAGUCUCACAACAAUUUUUUUAAAAAAUAAGUAUUGAAAAUUUUCUAAUAUUGAAGUGAUGUAACAUCGUAACUACUCUUAUAUUAUCAAGUAAGAUACAAUUACAAUUCAGGAAAUUUAAGAACCAAAAUUAUCACGUCUUAUAGUUUGAACUAAAAAUAUAUAAUUAAUUAAGGUUUGAGAGCUAAAGUGUCGCGCGCUUCAUAGUUUGAUGACCAAAAAUGUCACUAGCCUUUUAAAGAAUUGGAUCAGAUGAUCUGUCGAACCAAAUUAAAUGUAACUCAAGCAUAAAAAUUAAAUAUUACUUAAGCAUUCAAAUCCAGCAACCGUUGUUUUUGAAUUUAAAGUAGUUAUAUAGAUUCCCGCUACUAUACUUUUGAGAAUAGAUCUCUUUAUACUCAUAAGUUUUUGACCGUUAAAUCUAGCUCUUUGAUCAUUUCUACUCGUUAGAUCAUACUAUUCAACUAAUCGUCCACUCAACUCUAGGAAAUUUUUACCAUUCUAACAGGAAAUUACUAUCAUCCUAAUCGUGCAUCUCUUCAUUCAACGGUUGAAAAUUUGUGAGUACAAAAGAGUCUACACUCAGUAUAGUAACCAGUUAUAUAAGCGGUCAAAUUUUUGCACUUU
This 714-nucleotide long non-coding RNA is filed under the name Ananas comosus (pineapple). Its description in RNAcentral is "long non-coding RNA (ACOM_LNC036819)". The record is from RNAcentral. Lineage: Eukaryota; Viridiplantae; Streptophyta; Magnoliopsida; Poales; Bromeliaceae.